Molecule: long non-coding RNA, 1209 nt
Organism: Bos taurus (domestic cattle)
Lineage: Eukaryota; Metazoa; Chordata; Mammalia; Artiodactyla; Bovidae
Source: Ensembl
UCACAGAUCUGUGCUUGUUUAAGUAAUGGCAGAGCCAUAAAACCCCUCCCCAGAGGGCCCCCAGGCACACAGAUCCUGUUCUCUGGAGAAAGGCCACAGACCUGCCCUCACUCAGACCUCUCUCUUCUAACGGAAUUUGCUGAAGGCCAUGAGGGGAAAGAGUAUGGGUCCCAGCUGGGAUACCUAUCUAGUGUUGAAGCCCUGCAGAUAGAGGGUCAGGAAUACCAUCUCCUGCAAGAGAACAGCCCGGGGUGAACUUGGGUCAUCAGAGAACAUUCGGGUGUUAGUGUCUACCAUCCAAGUGCCCGGGCAUCAGGAGCUGCCUGCCAAGAAGUAUCAGAUGUGGCUCUUGCCCUUGGAAAGCUUACGUUCUGGAUAAAAAGAAAAUGAACAACAGAUGAAACGUUAAAGAAAUGGCUUAGCUCUUAGGAGUGGUUUGUCUCUUGGAAGGUGGCGCACAGACACAGGAGGUGGUGACAGGCCAGGGCAAAGGGCACGGGACCGGAGUCUACAGUCUCGUCCUGCCAAGCCUUCAGAGCCCCACGCCUCUCUCUGUAAAACAGGAUGAUGGUGCCUGCUUCCCAGGGCUGCCUGGAGGGUCACGUCCGGUUUGUAAGGAUGCAGGGAGAAGAAGCUGGCCCCAACCCAGCGUGCUCCUGUCCCAGGAUUUCUGUGAUGGGAACGUGAUUGUGAAGCCUGCGGUCCUAGAAGACUGCUUACCAGCUCCUCAUCCCUUCUUUGCUAUUUCCUGGGAGUUGCUGCCAAUCUAGACCCCGUGGACUUGUAGAUUUACAUCAUCUGUGCUAUUGGUUACAUCUGCCUGGAAAACUCUGCCGAAUUCAUUUUAAAAAUACACGGUUGAAAUGAUUUCCCUUAAUACCCCAGCAAACCUCCACAUGGCUAUUUUGUAGUCGAGGCAGGCUCCACUUUAAUCUACUCCAGAGCCACUUACAUUCUCUGCACCUGGAAUGAGAAUAUCCACAUCAGUUAUGUUUCCUGUGUUUCAGCAAAGGCUACAAGUCAAAACUAUAAUUUUGGUCCCGGGAUGAACUAGAAGGCAUGCAGAACUUCCCUGACCAGGGAUUGAACCCACGCCCUCUGCAGUGGAAGCGUAGAGUCCUAACCACUGGAUCACCAGGAAGUUCCACCUGUAAUCCUUGCAGCCACUGUACCUGGAAAUAUAGGCAUUACUACACACACCUUUUUGCU